This 541-nucleotide non-coding RNA is filed under the name Pongo abelii (Sumatran orangutan). Lineage: Eukaryota; Metazoa; Chordata; Mammalia; Primates; Hominidae. The record is from RNAcentral.
GCACUGAUGGAGGCAUUUUCCAAAGAACAGUGACAAGGACGGCCAGCACCUCACCUGCAUUCCUCAGUCUGACUCAAGCUGCUCUUCCACCCUCCUCCCCAGCUGGAGCUGAGGCUGAGGGCAGUUGAGGGCCACCAGGGAGAAGAGCUGGGUCAGGGCCGUGACCUGCCAGCAAGCACUAGGCCAAGCAGAUGUGCCGGGCAGGACGUACGAAUGAUGUUAUUUCUGGCAAGGAGGACAUGGCUGCUGUGGUUGAUUGGCUGUGGAAUUCCAGGGGAGCAAGGCACUAGGAAGUGGGGAACGCUGCCAGGCCCAGCAGCUCAUCAGGAGCUUGCACUUGGCCCAGUUAGGGCUGGCCGUGGGACACGCUUGUUGAAGCUGCUGCCGUAAGCUGCCCCUCUGCACCAGGAGACAGAUCCCAUUACCCCACCUACAGCUGCUUCCUGGUACAAGAGAAGAGUUACCAUUUGAAGUGACUCUGUAGGAGAGUCUGACAAACAUGUUUGCUUUUCACUGACAAUUAAAAUUGUUUUGCUGCUAA